RNAcentral lists this ribosomal RNA (567 nucleotides) under uncultured Glomeromycotina. RNAcentral describes it as "SSU rRNA". It matches the Rfam family "Eukaryotic small subunit ribosomal RNA", at positions 548 to 1114 of the family's 1831-position model. Lineage: Eukaryota; Fungi; Glomeromycota. The record is from RNAcentral.
UUGGAGGGCAAGUCUGGUGCCAGCAGCCGCGGUAAUUCCAGCUCCAAUAGCGUAUAUUAAAGUUGUUGCAGUUAAAAAGCUCGUAGUUGAAUUUCGGGAUUCAUCCGUUGGUCGGGCUUCACGGUCCGCACUGGUGUGAUGGGUUCCUACCUUCUGAAUAACCGGCAUGCCAUUAAUUUGGUGCGCCGGGGAAGCAGAACUAUUACCUUGAAAAAAUCAGAGUGCUUAAAGCAGGCAAGUGCCUGAGUAGGUUAGCAUGGAAUAAUAAAAUAGGACGGCAUGGUUCUAUUUUGUUGGUUUCUAGGAUCACCGUAAUGAUUAAUAGGGAUAGUUGGGGGCAUUAGUAUCCAAUUGUCAGAGGUGAAAUUCUUGGAUUUAUUGAAGACUAACUACUGCGAAAGCAUUUGCCAAGGAUGUUUUCAUUAAUCAAGAACGAAAGUUAGGGGAUCGAAGACGAUCAGAUACCGUCGUAGUCUUAACCAUAAACUAUGCCGACUAGGGAUCGGAUGAUGUUAAUUUUUUAAUGACUCAUUCGGCGCCUUACGGGAAACCAAAGUGUUUGGGUUC